This 224-nucleotide ribosomal RNA is filed under the name Paenibacillus pinisoli. Its description in RNAcentral is "partial 16S ribosomal RNA". It matches the Rfam family "Bacterial small subunit ribosomal RNA", at positions 1 to 214 of the family's 1533-position model. Lineage: Bacteria; Bacillati; Bacillota; Bacilli; Caryophanales; Paenibacillaceae. The record is from RNAcentral.
UUUAUGGAGAGUUUGAUCCUGGCUCAGGACGAACGCUGGCGGCGUGCCUAAUACAUGCAAGUCGAGCGGACUUGAUGGAGUGCUUGCACUCCUGAUGGUUAGCGGCGGACGGGUGAGUAACACGUAGGUAACCUGCCUGUAAGACUGGGAUAACAUUCGGAAACGAAUGCUAAUACCGGAUACGCGAGUUGGUCGCAUGGCCGACUCGGGAAAGACGGAGCAAU